AUUGAACGCUGGCGGCAGGCCUAACACAUGCAAGUCGAACGGUAACAGGAAACAGCUUGCUGUUUCGCUGACGAGUGGCGGACGGGUGAGUAAUGUCUGGGAAACUGCCUGAUGGAGGGGGAUAACUACUGGAAACGGUAGCUAAUACCGCAUAACGUCGCAAGACCAAAGAGGGGGACCCUCGGGCCUCUUGCCAGCGGAUGUGCCCAGAUGGGAUUAGCUUGUUGGUGGGGUAACGGCUCACCAAGGCGACGAUCCCUAGCUGGUCUGAGAGGAUGACCAGCCACACUGGAACUGAGACACGGUCCAGACUCCUACGGGAGGCAGCAGUGGGGAAUAUUGCACAAUGGGCGCAAGCCUGAUGCAGCCAUGCCGCGUGUAUGAAGAAGGCCUUCGGGUUGUAAAGUACUUUCAGCGGGGAGGAAGGGAGUAAAGUUAAUACCUUUGCUCAUUGACGUUACCCGCAGAAGAAGCACCGGCUAACUCCGUG
This 490-nucleotide ribosomal RNA is filed under the name uncultured bacterium. Its description in RNAcentral is "partial 16S ribosomal RNA". It matches the Rfam family "Bacterial small subunit ribosomal RNA", at positions 30 to 507 of the family's 1533-position model. The record is from RNAcentral.